GGUCCACCUCCCACCCGUGUUUAUUUUACCUUGUUGCUUCGGCGGGCCCGCCUUAACUGGCCGCCGGGGGGCUUACGCCCCCGGGCCCGCGCCCGCCGAAGACACCCUCGAACUCUGUCUGAAGAUUGUAGUCUGAGUGAAAAUAUAAAUUAUUUAAAACUUUCAACAACGGAUCUCUUGGUUCCGGCAUCGAUGAAGAACGCAGCGAAAUGCGAUACGUAAUGUGAAUUGCAAAUUCAGUGAAUCAUCGAGUCUUUGAACGCACAUUGCGCCCCCUGGUAUUCCGGGGGGCAUGCCUGUCCGAGCGUCAUUUCUGCCCUCAAGCACGGCUUGUGUGUUGGGCCCCGUCCUCCGAUCCCGGGGGACGGGCCCGAAAGGCAGCGGCGGCACCGCGUCCGGUCCUCGAGCGUAUGGGGCUUUGUCACCCGCUCUGUAGGCCCGGCCGGCGCUUGCCGAUCAACCCAAAUUUUUAUCCAGGUUGACCUCGGAUCAGGUAGGGAUACCCGCUGAACUUAAGCAUAUCA
Molecule: ribosomal RNA, 524 nt
Filed under: Penicillium sp. YIM PH 30003
Lineage: Eukaryota; Fungi; Ascomycota; Eurotiomycetes; Eurotiales; Aspergillaceae
Description: eukaryotic LSU rRNA
Rfam family: 5.8S ribosomal RNA (bases 158-310)
Source: RNAcentral